Molecule: transfer RNA, 76 nt
Filed under: Lentzea cavernae
Lineage: Bacteria; Bacillati; Actinomycetota; Actinomycetes; Pseudonocardiales; Pseudonocardiaceae
Description: tRNA-Ala
Source: RNAcentral
GCGCCCGGCGGUUCGGGGGACGCCUGCGACUUGCGCUCGCCGUCGGCGACCAGGGGUUCGUCGCCCGCCGGGAGCA